UACUAAUAUUGAAUAUGUUCUAUUUUAUAUUGAUCAAAACUGCAAGAGAGGAGAGAAAUCAUCUACUACUAAUUAGCUCUAACAAGGUCUUAACCUUACAAAACCAAACUAUUACAGCUCAUACUAAAUCUGCCAAAACCAAACACAAACAAUCUAUUUACAAACUACUCUUUUUAAAUGGACUUCUCUAAAAUGGAGUAACUGAUUUCAAAGCAGAGCGCUUCAUCCGCCCCACAUGCCUCCGACAGCGCACAUACCAAACAUUGGUCAAAAUUGCUCUCCAAACAACCUGCUAACCCGAGAACAUGUGGACGACCCAGGAAAAGUCGCAGCUACUUGUUCGAUUUUAUCUUCCCAGCUCAGGCCUUCAACAGGUCUCCUGUACAAAGCUUCCAAACCUCAUCCAUAAAACCACAAUCAUAGAAGAUGUGCUAAACAAAAUCAAUUCCAGAAUUACAGAGUAACCAGGAAAUGUCAACAUAGGUCUCCCAACUAGCAACCUUGGAGUUAGUAACCAACCUACCUUUCAGAGCAAGUCGGGAAAUGAAACAGGGUUUUGGGAUCGAGGAGGCGAACAAAUGAAUUGGGACCAAGGCAACUUUGGUUCCCGUGCUCUAAACUAGUUCCACACGAGAAACAGAGUAGCGAGGCAUUGAUGUUUCUUGCAAAAGAAAUUCACCAUCGAUCCCUCGUUAAACUGAAGGAGCAGCCUGGUCAUGAGCAUGCAGCCUGAUCAGACGCUGCUUGUCAGUUCCAGAUUGUCCCACUCUUGAUUUGAAACAAAC
This 785-nucleotide long non-coding RNA is filed under the name Linum usitatissimum (flax). RNAcentral's name for it is "long non-coding RNA (LUSI_LNC004236)". Lineage: Eukaryota; Viridiplantae; Streptophyta; Magnoliopsida; Malpighiales; Linaceae. The record is from RNAcentral.